UACGAAGGUGGCAAGCGUUACUCGGAAUUACUAGGCGUAAAGGGCAGGUAGGUGGUUCGGUAAGUCUGUUGUGUAAGCUCCCGGCUUAACUGGGAGAGGUCAACAGAAACUACCGGACUUGAGUAUAGGAGAGGGUACUGGAAUUCCCGGUGUAGCGGUGAAAUGCGCAGAGAUCGGGAGGAACACCAAUGGCGAAAGCAGGUACCUGGACUAUUACUGACACUAAGCUGCGAAAGCUAGGGGAGCAAACAGG
Molecule: ribosomal RNA, 253 nt
Filed under: uncultured bacterium
Lineage: Bacteria
Description: partial 16S ribosomal RNA
Rfam family: Bacterial small subunit ribosomal RNA
Source: RNAcentral